AUUGAACGCUGGCGGCAUGCUUUACACAUGCAAGUCGAACGGUAACAGGGAGCUGCUCCGCUGACGAGUGGCGAACGGGUGAGUAAUGCAUCGGAACGUACCGUGUAGUGGGGGAUAAACGUAGCGAAAGUUACGCUAAUACCGCAUACGCCCCGAGGGGGAAAGUGGGGGACCGCAAGGCCUCACGCUAUAUGAGCGGCCCGAUGUCGGAUUAGCUAGUUGGUAGGGUAAAGGCCUACCAAGGCGACGAUCCGUAGCGGGUCUGAGAGGAUGAUCCGCCACACUGGGACUGAGACACGGGCCCAGACUCCUACGGGAGGCAGCAGUGGGGAAUUUUGGACAAUGGCGCAAGCCUGAUCCAGCCAUGCCGCGUGAGUGAAGAAGGCCUUCGGGUUGUAAAGCUCUUUC
This 408-nucleotide ribosomal RNA is filed under the name uncultured Zoogloea sp. Its description in RNAcentral is "bacterial SSU rRNA". It matches the Rfam family "Bacterial small subunit ribosomal RNA", at positions 30 to 437 of the family's 1533-position model. The record is from RNAcentral. Lineage: Bacteria; Pseudomonadati; Pseudomonadota; Betaproteobacteria; Rhodocyclales; Zoogloeaceae.